This 497-nucleotide ribosomal RNA is filed under the name uncultured bacterium. Its description in RNAcentral is "partial 16S ribosomal RNA". It matches the Rfam family "Bacterial small subunit ribosomal RNA", at positions 28 to 507 of the family's 1533-position model. The record is from RNAcentral.
GAUGAACGCUGGCGGCGUGCCUAAUACAUGCAAGUCGAGCGAACAGACGAGGAGCUUGCUCCUCUGACGUUAGCGGCGGACGGGUGAGUAACACGUGGAUAACCUACCUAUAAGACUGGGAUAACUUCGGGAAACCGGAGCUAAUACCGGAUAAUAUAUUGAACCGCAUGGUUCAAUAGUGAAAGACGGUUUUGCUGUCACUUAUAGAUGGAUCCGCGCCGCAUUAGCUAGUUGGUAAGGUAACGGCUUACCAAGGCAACGAUGCGUAGCCGACCUGAGAGGGUGAUCGGCCACAAUGGAACUGAGACACGGGCCAGACUCCUACGGGAGGCAGCAGUAGGGAAUCCUCCGCAAUGGGCGAAAGCCUGACGGAGCAACGCCGCGUGAGUGAUGAAGGUCUUCGGAUCCUAAAACUCUGUUAUUAGGGAAGAACAAAUGUGUAAGUAACUAUGCACGUCUUGACGGUACCUUAUCAGAAAGCCACGGCUAACUACGUG